Molecule: non-coding RNA, 287 nt
Organism: Biomphalaria pfeifferi
Lineage: Eukaryota; Metazoa; Mollusca; Gastropoda; Planorbidae
Source: the annotation of a GenBank genome assembly
AUUUGCAUUUAAAUGUUUUUUAUUUAAAAUUUAGUUCUUUACAUGUCAUUGAACUAAAAAUUAAAUCAAUAAAUAAACAUGACAAGCAGGCAAAAAUAACAAGAGUUGAAUGUUUCAAUAAUUUAUAACACAUUUUAGCAAUGAAACUUGUCCAGCUUUGUUGAAUUAAGCCUGACAAAAUCAUUUAAAGGUUGUUUUUUUUAAGUUACCUUAACGGAACUAUUAAGCUUCUGGUAAAUAUUUUAAAGUCGCUUUGGAGUGACAAAAAAAAAAAAAAAAAAAAAAAA